RNAcentral lists this ribosomal RNA (442 nucleotides) under Paris luquanensis. Its description in RNAcentral is "eukaryotic LSU rRNA". The stretch from base 302 to 442 matches the Rfam family "Eukaryotic large subunit ribosomal RNA", at positions 1 to 141 of the family's 3401-position model. The record is from RNAcentral. Lineage: Eukaryota; Viridiplantae; Streptophyta; Magnoliopsida; Liliales; Melanthiaceae.
UGCAGAAUCCCGUGAAUCAUCGAGUUUUUGAACGCAAGUUGUGCCCGAUGCCAUUCGGCAAAGGGCACGCCUGCCUGGGCGUCAUGUCUUGCGUCGCUCGGUGCCAACUACGCCCGUGGGUCGAAAGUGUUGGCACUGAUGUGGAGAUUGGCCUCUCGUGUCCUUGUAUGCGCGGUAGGCUGAAGAGUGGGAUGCCAACGGAGACGGACACGAUGAGUGGUGGAUGCGAGCCGGACGUCGUGGUCUCGUCCUCUAAAGGCUCGGAGGCCCCUUAUGACACCCAACAUGGUUGCGUUGUAUGCGACCCCAGGUCAGGCGGGAAUACCCGCUGAAUUUAAGCAUAUCAAUAAGCGGAGGAGAAGAAACUUACGAGGAUUCCCUUAGUAACGGCGAGCGAACCGGGACAAGCCCACCUUGAGAAUCGGACGGCUUUGUCGUUCGA